This 800-nucleotide long non-coding RNA is filed under the name Pan troglodytes (chimpanzee). RNAcentral's name for it is "long non-coding RNA NONPTRT015724". The record is from RNAcentral. Lineage: Eukaryota; Metazoa; Chordata; Mammalia; Primates; Hominidae.
AGCAACAGAAGUUACCAUUACAAUCUAACCCGAGUUCAUUGGGCUAACAGACAGUACAUGCCUUGGUCUUUACACAGACUGCAAGAGUAAGAUUGCCUGCUUGAAUUCUCACUCUGCAUCUGACAAGUUAUAAGACCUUGACCAAAUUACUUCUCUGUACUUCAGUAUUUUUAUAGCAUAAUAGUUUAUGCGUAUUAAAGAAUAAAAUAAUGAUAUAUCCCAGAUGUCUUUGUGAAUAUUUAAAAUAUUAAUUAGAGCACAGAAGAGUGUUGAGGAAUAGCACUGAAAUGUCAGUUCUGAUGUAGUGGUGGUCAUGAGUAGGCCCAAGGGAUCGAGUGAAUGCAGUAUCUUUGCCAAGGAAAUCAGAAGCUGUUCCAGAGUAGAGGUACUCAUCUGAGAGGGAGAAAAAAGUACACAGAACUUUUAAGAGUACAGCAGUAGAUGCUAUUUAACAUGUACAAAUUUCACAGCAUGACACCAAAGAUGUUUGUUUCAGUGAAUUUUUCAAAUGGAAGUAGUAAUGUACUCAUCAAUACAUUUAGUCUCCACAAUUAUCAAUAUCGAAAUCACCACUAAGAACACAUAUUUCUUGAGCUUUCAUGACUAACUUAUUGAGCCUAAUAAAACCAACUUCAUCUUUUAAGAAAUAGAUUUGCUAUAAUAAUCAUACUUUCAGGAUAAUGAUUACAAUUUAUAUAACUAAGCAUCUUCAACUAUGUCAAAUGACUUAAACCCUGUAAUAGUUUUUAAAAUUAUAGUAACAUAAAAGUGUUCUAAGGCGGGCAGUUCAUUUUCAAGUU